AUCUUUCAUAAGCUUGAAUAUUGGGUUUUCACUCUCGUGUGAGAUACCCCUCUCUCAAACCUUGCUGCGAAGUCAGCACUAUUGGGCACAUUACUUGUCUGACA
Molecule: small nucleolar RNA, 104 nt
Organism: Cebus imitator (Panamanian white-faced capuchin)
Lineage: Eukaryota; Metazoa; Chordata; Mammalia; Primates; Cebidae
Product: small nucleolar RNA U13
Exons: 1
Source: RefSeq, a predicted model, not a curated record